AGUGAGCGCUGGCGGUAGGCCUAACACAUGCAAGUCGAACGGCAGCACAGUAAGAGCUUGCUCUUACGGGUGGCGAGUGGCGGACGGGUGAGGAAUACAUCGGAAUCUACUUUUUCGUGGGGGAUAACGUAGGGAAACUUACGCUAAUACCGCAUACGACCUACGGGUGAAAGCAGGGGAUCUUCGGACCUUGCGCGAUUGAAUGAGCCGAUGUCGGAUUAGCUAGUUGGCGGGGUAAAGGCCCACCAAGGCGACGAUCCGUAGCUGGUCUGAGAGGAUGGUCGGCGAAGGUGGAAAUAAGGAACGGUGCAGGCUACUACGGGAGGCCGGAGUGGGGAAGUUGAGGCAGUGGGGGGAAUUCUAAACCCAGCAUAACGGGAGGGGAAAGAAGGCCUUCGGGUUUUAAAGCCCCUUUGUUGGGAAAAAAAAGCAGCAGGGUAAAACCCCGGGGUUCUGGCGGGACCCAAAAAAAAAGCACCGGCCAACUUAUU
This 491-nucleotide ribosomal RNA is filed under the name uncultured bacterium. RNAcentral's name for it is "partial 16S ribosomal RNA". It matches the Rfam family "Bacterial small subunit ribosomal RNA", at positions 30 to 506 of the family's 1533-position model. The record is from RNAcentral.